AACGAACGCUGGCGGCAUGCCUAGCACAUGCAAGUCGAACGAGACCUUCGGGUCUAGUGGCGCACGGGUGCGUAACGCGUGGGAACCUGCCCUUAGGUUCGGAAUAACUCCCCGAAAGGGGUGCUAAUACCGGAUAAUGUCUUCGGACCAAGGAUUUAUCGCCUUUGGAUGGGCCCGCGUUGGAUUAGCUAGUUGGUAGGGUAAAAGCCUACCAAGGCGACGAUCCAUAGCUGGUCUGAGAGGAUGAUCAGCCACACUGGGACUGAGACACGGCCCAGACUCCUACGGGAGGCAGCAGUGGGGAAUAUUGGACAAUGGGCGAAAGCCUGAUCCAGCAAUGCCGCGUGAGUGAUGAAGGCCUUAGGGUUGUAAAGCUCUUUUACCCGGGAUGAUAAUGACAGUACCGGGAGAAUAAGCUCCGGCUAACUCCGUG
RNAcentral lists this ribosomal RNA (433 nucleotides) under uncultured bacterium. RNAcentral's name for it is "partial 16S ribosomal RNA". It matches the Rfam family "Bacterial small subunit ribosomal RNA", at positions 29 to 507 of the family's 1533-position model. The record is from RNAcentral.